GAGUGGUGGGUUCUGGGUAUAGUAGUCCAUGAAACAAUUUCUCCAUGGAUUCUGGGUAUUGUAGUCCUGUGGCCUCGGAAGUAGUCUUCUUAUGGUAGUCAAUAAGGAAAAUUGUGGAGGAUUCUGGGUACGCAACGGAUUCUGAGUAUGGUAGUCUAGGAGAAAAAUCUUCCUGAGGAUUCUGGAUAUCGUAGUAUUUCGGCCCAUGGAGGAUUCCGGAUAUCACAGUCCAAGGGAAAAUUACUGUCAAAGGAUUGAGCCCAGGCCUUCACACUGAAUUACAUCUACAGAAGUUUGUUUUUUUUGUUUGUUUGUUUGUUUGUUUGUUUUUUAAUGUGUGUGCCUGUGACAGAUAAUUGCUAAACUGUUAAGACUGCCUGUCUGGGCAUGAACUUGCAGUCCUCUUCCUGCAGUCUCCCAGAGUGCUAGGAUUAUAGCACUGCCUGCCUUCUAUUCUGACAUUUUAGAAGCAAUUGAAUUUAUUGUGCCCCAGUAUCUAUUGAAACUCUAUGUCUGUAUUUGUAUAACUUCAUCUUU
Molecule: long non-coding RNA, 537 nt
Filed under: Fukomys damarensis (Damara mole-rat)
Lineage: Eukaryota; Metazoa; Chordata; Mammalia; Rodentia; Bathyergidae
Description: lncRNA (ENSFDAG00000022412.1)
Source: RNAcentral